GCCUUGAUAGCUCAGUUGGUGUACAGCAUGAGACUUUUGAUCUCAGGGUUGUGGGUUGGAGCCUCACGUUGGGCA
Non-coding RNA from Podarcis lilfordi (Lilford's wall lizard), 75 nucleotides. Lineage: Eukaryota; Metazoa; Chordata; Lepidosauria; Squamata; Lacertidae. The record is from the annotation of a GenBank genome assembly.